CGCGGGAUGUAGCAGCUUGGUAGCUCGUCGGGCUCAUAACCCGAAGGUCGUCGGUUCAAAUCCGGCUCCCGCAACCA
RNAcentral lists this transfer RNA (77 nucleotides) under Arsenophonus nasoniae (son-killer infecting Nasonia vitripennis). RNAcentral's name for it is "tRNA-Met". It matches the Rfam family "tRNA". Rfam says of the family: Transfer RNA (tRNA) molecules are approximately 80 nucleotides in length. Their secondary structure includes four short double-helical elements and three loops (D, anti-codon, and T loops). The record is from RNAcentral. Lineage: Bacteria; Pseudomonadati; Pseudomonadota; Gammaproteobacteria; Enterobacterales; Morganellaceae.